GCUAGGAUGAACGCUAGCUACAGGCUUAACACAUGCAAGUCGAGGGGCAGCAUGAAGUUUGCUUGCAAACUUGAUGGCGACCGGCGCACGGGUGAGUAACGCGUAUCCAACCUGGCCCGCAGUAGGGAACAGCCCGGCGAAAGUCGGAUUAAUGCCCUAUGUCUUCCUUUGCAGGCAUCCAAUGAGGAAGAAAGAUUUAUCGCUGCGGGAUGGGGAUGCGUCUGAUUAGCUUGUCGGCGGGGUAACGGCCCACCGAGGCGACGAUCAGUAGGGGUUCUGAGAGGAAGGUCCCCCACACUGGUACUGAGACACGGACCAGACUCCUACGGGAGGCAGCAGUGAGGAAUAUUGGUCAAUGGGCGAGAGCCUGAACCAGCCAAGUAGCGUGCAGGACGAACUGCCCUAUGGGUUGUAAACUGCUUUUAUGCGGGGAUAAACUUCAGCACGUGUGCUGUUUUGCAGGUACCGCAUGAAUAAGGACCGGCUAAUUCCGUGCCAGCAGCGGC
RNAcentral lists this ribosomal RNA (506 nucleotides) under uncultured bacterium. RNAcentral describes it as "bacterial SSU rRNA". It matches the Rfam family "Bacterial small subunit ribosomal RNA", at positions 26 to 518 of the family's 1533-position model. The record is from RNAcentral.